AUAAAAAACUAGAGCAUGAUAACUGUACAUUUGAUAUAUGAAAAUAAGAGGAGGAAAUGGACUUAAAUAAGAACUCUUGCUAUAAUGAGCCAAGGUUGAAGCCUUCACAAACCAGAGAGUGGAAUGGGUUGCAGAAUCGUGAUGAAAAAGGCUGAAAUUUAUGGAGUCUUAAGGCAUUUAUCAAGCUAAAGGAUCAUUAAUGAUAAUAGUGACAAUAAUGGUGUGAUGAAGGAGAGACAUGAGAGAAGACAAAUCUAGUUGAAAAAUUGAAAG
RNAcentral lists this long non-coding RNA (273 nucleotides) under Carica papaya (papaya). RNAcentral's name for it is "long non-coding RNA (CPAP_LNC009279)". The record is from RNAcentral. Lineage: Eukaryota; Viridiplantae; Streptophyta; Magnoliopsida; Brassicales; Caricaceae.